GAUGAACGCUGGCGGCGUGCCUAAUACAUGCAAGUCGAGCGAACGGACGAGAAGCUUGCUUCUCUGAUGUUAGCGGCGGACGGGUGAGUAACACGUGGAUAACCUACCUAUAAGACUGGGAUAACUUCGGGAAACCGGAGCUAAUACCGGAUAAUAUUUUGAACCGCAUGGUUCAAAAGUGAAAGACGGUCUUGCUGUCACUUAUAGAUGGAUCCGCGCUGCAUUAGCUAGUUGGUAAGGUAACGGCUUACCAAGGCAACGAUGCAUAGCCGACCUGAGAGGGUGAUCGGCCACACUGGAACUGAGACACGGUCCAGACUCCUACGGGAGGCAGCAGUAGGGAAUCUUCCGCAAAGGGCGAAAGCCUGACGGAGCAACGCCGCGUGAGUGAUGAAGGUCUUCGGACCGUAAAACUCUGUUAUUAGGGAAGAACAUAUGUGUAAGUAACUGUGCACAUCUUGACGGUACCUAAUCAGAAAGCCACGGCUAACUACGUG
Molecule: ribosomal RNA, 497 nt
Filed under: uncultured bacterium
Lineage: Bacteria
Description: partial 16S ribosomal RNA
Rfam family: Bacterial small subunit ribosomal RNA
Source: RNAcentral